AGCAGCUUGCUGCUUCGCUGACGAGUGGCGGACGGGUGAGUAAUGUCUGGGAAACUGCCUGAUGGAGGGGGAUAACUACUGGAAACGGUAGCUAAUACCGCAUAACGUCGCAAGACCAAAGAGGGGGACCUUCGGGCCUCUUGCCAUCGGAUGUGCCCAGAUGGGAUUAGCUAGUAGGUGGGGUAACGGCUCACCUAGGCGACGAUCCCUAGCUGGUCUGAGAGGAUGACCAGCCACACUGGAACUGAGACACGGUCCAGACUCCUACGGGAGGCAGCAGUGGGGAAUAUUGCACAAUGGGCGCAAGCCUGAUGCAGCCAUGCCGCGUGUAUGAAGAAGGCCUUCGGGUUGUAAAGUACUUUCAGCGGGGAGGAAGGGAGUAAAGUUAAUACCUUUGCUCAUUGACGUUACCCGCAGAAGAAGCACCGGCUAACUCCGUGUCAGCAGCCGCGGUAAUACUGAUGGUGUAAGCGUUAAUUGGAAUUACUGGGCGUAAUACGCACUCAGGCGGUUUGUUAUGUUAGAUGUGAAAUCUCCGGGCUCAACCUGGGAACUGCAUCUGUUAUUGGCAAGUUUGAUUCUUUUAGAGGGGGGUAGAAUU
RNAcentral lists this ribosomal RNA (601 nucleotides) under uncultured bacterium. RNAcentral's name for it is "bacterial SSU rRNA". It matches the Rfam family "Bacterial small subunit ribosomal RNA", at positions 74 to 668 of the family's 1533-position model. The record is from RNAcentral.